AUCCAGCUGACGAGUCUCAAGUUGAACGAAACGCAUGUCCUGGAU
This 45-nucleotide non-coding RNA is filed under the name Schistosoma haematobium. The record is from RNAcentral. Lineage: Eukaryota; Metazoa; Platyhelminthes; Trematoda; Strigeidida; Schistosomatidae.